UACUACGGCCAUGCCACCCUGAACGUGCCCGAUCUCAUCUGAUCUGGAAGCUAAGCAGAGUCGGGCCUGGUUAGUCCUUGGAUGGGAGACCACCGUGGAAUACCAGGUGUUGUAGGCA
Molecule: ribosomal RNA, 118 nt
Filed under: Pteropus alecto (black flying fox)
Lineage: Eukaryota; Metazoa; Chordata; Mammalia; Chiroptera; Pteropodidae
Source: RNAcentral